RNAcentral lists this ribosomal RNA (254 nucleotides) under uncultured bacterium. RNAcentral describes it as "partial 16S ribosomal RNA". It matches the Rfam family "Bacterial small subunit ribosomal RNA", at positions 79 to 334 of the family's 1533-position model. The record is from RNAcentral.
CUUUCUUUGCUGGCGACCGGCGCACGGGUGAGUAACACGUAUCCAACCUGCCCUUUACUCGGGGAUAGCCUUUCGAAAGAAAGAUUAAUACCCGAUAGCAUAGUUCUUCCGCAUGGUAGAACUAUUAAAGAAUUUCGGUCAUCGAUGGGGAUGCGUUCCAUUAGGUUGUUGGCGGGGUAACGGCCCACCAAGCCUUCGAUGGAUAGGGGUUCUGAGAGGAAGGUCCCCCACAUUGGAACUGAGACACGGUCCAA